GCGUCCGUAGCUCAGUUGGUUAGAGCACCACCUUGACAUGGUGGGGGUCGGUGGUUCAAGUCCACUCGGACGCACCA
This 77-nucleotide transfer RNA is filed under the name Escherichia coli. Its description in RNAcentral is "tRNA-Val(gac)". It matches the Rfam family "tRNA". From Rfam's summary of the family: Transfer RNA (tRNA) molecules are approximately 80 nucleotides in length. Their secondary structure includes four short double-helical elements and three loops (D, anti-codon, and T loops). Lineage: Bacteria; Pseudomonadati; Pseudomonadota; Gammaproteobacteria; Enterobacterales; Enterobacteriaceae. RNAcentral also lists the same sequence under 9 other names. The record is from RNAcentral.